CAGAACACCAUUUCCUGCAGCCUGAAAAGAAGACAGUAUAAUUGUUUGGCAGCAAGAGAAUCCAGGUGCCCUUCCAUGAGAAGCCCAAGCCAUGUGGAGAAGCCACGUCUAGGGACUCCAGUUAACACUCUCAGCUGAGUCCCCAGCUGACAGUCAGCAUCAACUGCCAGCCACCUCUGUCUAAAAGUGGGCUAUCUUGGGCAUCCAGCCCAGUCAAGCCUUCAGAUGAGUCCAGUCCCAGCCACUAUCUCACACAACCACACGAGAGACAUCAAGAACUCCCAGUGGAGUCCAGUCAGCCCAUGGAACUGCAAGAGCCAUAAGCGUACCUGAGUACAUUUUUCAUGUCAAGAAGACAAUGGCUUCAAAGGAAGGGAAAGGGCAGCCCCACAGGAGGCCCAGAAAAGAAGGCCAGGUGAAAAAAGCAAAGCCUCCCAGGGAAACAUUCACAUUUCCUGAAUGAUCUGUCAUCAAAAAUGCAUGUGCAUGCAGAGGGGCAACCAACAGAGUCAGGGCAAACGCAGCCAGGCUGGCCCCUGCUCCCAACUGUGCCCGGAGGACUUUGAAACACACCCAUACCCAGGACAAAAGCAACCCUCCUUCCCGAAAUCACUGCCACCUAUCUGGCAAAACCACAAGUCCAAAGGAAAAUCUUGGAUUUGGCUUUUUUUUCAGGCUCCUAAAUUUAAGCAACAUUAAUUUUUUAAAGGCCUGUCCUGCUCUCUAUACUGCAAUGGAAGAUUCAGGGGAGCAGCAUUUCAUGGUAAGAUUAGAACCAGGCCAUUCUGUUCUUAAUCCUUACCUUGGAGUUGAUGUGAAAAGGUGUUGGCUUCACACUUGGAUAGUCCUGGGACUGGGCCCAGUAUUCCCUUGUUGUAUGUUCUGGAGCAUUGCUGUGAGAAGCCAUUAUUUUUUGCUUAUGUCCCUGGGGCUUUAUUUACUUCACCUCGUGUUUAAUCUUCCCAGCAACCCUAUGAGGGAAGUAUAUUACCUCAUUUCAAGGGUAAGGAGAUUAGUCUCAAAAAGAAACACACACUCCAAAUAACAGAUGGGAUUCAAACCUUGGCCUGCCCAAUUCCAGAGAUCUGCUCUAAUAUGGUUUUGCUGUGUCCCUACCCAAAUCUCAUCUUGAAUUCCCACUUGUUGUGGGAGUGACACGGUGGGAAGUAACUGAAUCAUGGGGACAGGUCUUUCCCAGGCUAUUCUGAUGAUAGUGAAUAAGUAUCAUGAGAUCUGAUGGUUUUUAAAAGGGGAGUUUCCCUGCACAAGCUCUUCUUCUCUUGUCUGCUGCCAUGUGAGAUGUGACUUUCACCUUUCACCACAAUUGUGAGGCUUCCCCAGCCACGUGGAACUGUAAGUCCAUUAAACCUCUUUCUUUUGUAAA
Molecule: long non-coding RNA, 1384 nt
Organism: Homo sapiens (human)
Lineage: Eukaryota; Metazoa; Chordata; Mammalia; Primates; Hominidae
Source: Ensembl